GAUAUGUACAAUAAUAAAUACAUUUUUAUAUUAGAUGAAUAUUAUUGAUAUUGCUGAUAGUGAACUCUCACAGCAGAAAUUUGAAAUUAAUAUAUGAUGACUUAUCAUGUUUAGACGCACAAUACAAAAAAUGUAUGUAAUAUAUUAUAUACCGAUCUACGCGCAAUUUAAAUAGUGAAAAAUAGAUAAUUGUGUUAACAAAAUCCGCAAUAUUUUAACAUACUUGUAACGCAAACAAUCUAUGUGUACAGAACAAAAACAUACAAAUUCUGUGUAAUAAAUAAAAGAAAUAUACAAUGUAAAAAGGGAAAAAAUACAUAUAUAUAACGAGCAGCUCUAUACUUUUCUAUACAUCUAUAUUUAUUGGUGGCUACUAUUAACUGGAUUUCGGUAAAGUGCAUGUGCACUUAUUUUCUAUAGUAAACGUAACGUAUUAUAAAUAAAUGCGUGUAUAUGCACUCUACGGAAUUCGGCCAUUAUAUUUUUUCCACUAAUAUAAAUGAUAGGCAAAAAAAUCUUAGGAUCGAGUCCGAGAAAGACAGUGCCGGUUUGGGUGCUUGGCCGUUCCCGUGCAAACUCAAGAAAUAUGUAUUGCACCUGAUACGUUUCGGAAAAAAAGAUCACCUAAUCUAAAAUAUGCGAUUGGAAUGAUAGUUACACAUAAGUAUAAAAUGCGAGAUAAUACAUAUAUAAAUCCUUCUGGUGUCAUUAUUGGGUGGCACAACAAAGGCCACAUUCCAUGCUCUCCAUAUAAGAGAUUAUAUUGUACUUACAACGAUAUUAAACAAGAAUGUAUACAAAAAUAUAACAUCGAAGAUUGGGAAUUGCAACCAUACUACGUGUUGUUAAAUGAAUAUAACCUGGUGUUUUAUGUUCCACAAUGUGUUAUAACAUCGACAUACAAAGAAUGGAUAAACCAUAUAUU
Non-coding RNA from Nylanderia fulva, 925 nucleotides. The record is from RefSeq and is a predicted model, not a curated record. Lineage: Eukaryota; Metazoa; Arthropoda; Insecta; Hymenoptera; Formicidae.